CACAGCACAAGUCAGAGGACUUACCUUGGCCUCAGUUCCAACCUGCAGUUUAAGGUUAAACACAGAUAUUCAAACAAUUCACGACAAACGAUCAAGCAUUGAUCAAUCGACUUAGUCGAUUACAUGUCAAUCGGACCAUCUCUAGGUCAUUCCCACUCAUACCAUAAUUUCCUAAUGGUGUACUCAUUCACCAAAUCACAUGUGUUUCUCGGGCGUCGUUUUCGCCAAUGACAUACC
Molecule: long non-coding RNA, 237 nt
Filed under: Eucalyptus grandis
Lineage: Eukaryota; Viridiplantae; Streptophyta; Magnoliopsida; Myrtales; Myrtaceae
Description: long non-coding RNA (EGRA_LNC006156)
Source: RNAcentral